CCUACGGGAGGCAGCAGUGAGGGAUAUUGGUCAAUGGGGGAAACCCUGAACCAGCAACGCCGCGUGAGGGAAGACGGUUUUCGGAUUGUAAACCUCUGUCCUCUGUGAAGAUAAUGACGGUAGCAGAGGAGGAAGCUCCGGCUAACUACGUGCCAGCAGCCGCGGUAAUACGUAGGGGGCAAGCGUUAUCCGGAUUUACUGGGUGUAAAGGGAGCGUAGACGGCGUGCCAAGUCUGAUGUGAAAGGCCGGGGCUCAACCCCGGGACUGCAUUGGAAACUGGCAUGCUGGAGUGCCGGAGGGGCAA
RNAcentral lists this ribosomal RNA (305 nucleotides) under uncultured bacterium. RNAcentral describes it as "bacterial SSU rRNA". It matches the Rfam family "Bacterial small subunit ribosomal RNA", at positions 338 to 660 of the family's 1533-position model. The record is from RNAcentral.